RNAcentral lists this ribosomal RNA (253 nucleotides) under uncultured bacterium. Its description in RNAcentral is "partial 16S ribosomal RNA". It matches the Rfam family "Bacterial small subunit ribosomal RNA", at positions 524 to 776 of the family's 1533-position model. The record is from RNAcentral.
UACAGAGGAGCCAAGCGUUGUCCGGAUUGACUGGGCGUAAAGCGCACGCAGGCGGUGCUGCGCGUGGGGUGUGAAAUCUGGCCGCUUAACGGCCAGGCGCCAUCCCAUACGGCGCGUCUGGAGUGAUGCAGAGGUCGGUGGAAUUGCCGGUGUAGUGGUGAAAUGCGUAGAGAUCGGCAGGAACACCCAGGGGGAAACCAGCCGACUGGGCAUCUACUGACGCUGAGGUGCGAGAGCGUGGGGAGCGAACCGG